GUUUCCGGGAUUUCUCUGUAGGUGAGGCGGGAGGCUGGAGGGAGCUGAGCCCCCGGGGAGGGGGCCCGAUUCCGCCUCGCCGCGCCUCUGGCUGCUGGGCCGUGGGUUUUUCUCUUCUCCUGGGAGUAAGGAGGACGACGGCCCCUAACCCCUGAAUUAGCCUUCUAUUUCCAUUAGUGACUUAGAAGCUACCCGGCGCCUCAUCUGGGCUCACCUGAGCUGAGGAUCAGGAAGGGGAGGGGGCACAGUCAUUCCCUCGCGGACGCGGCGGGACCCCAGCGGACGGCUUUGUGCGGACUUUCGGCACCGUUAUGCCCCCCUAGCCCGACACCACCUGGGGCUGGCGCGCCACGUUACUGUUCAGGGCCAGACGCACCGCCCUGCCUGCUCCGGGGAGCCGGACCUCCGAUCCCGGGGAUGGGGGACCCCGAGACCUCAGACCCAACGGAGGGGACUCUGAUACCUCAGACCCCACGCGGGGACCCCGAGGCUUCAGACCCCCACAGGGUGACCCCGAGAUCUCAGACCCCCGCAGGAGUACCUCCAGACCUCAAAUCCCCAGUAAGGGAAUGAAAGAGACUUCGGAUCCCUGAGGCAGCAAAUCCCUGUAGGGGCAUCCCAGGACUCAGGUCACCGCGGGGUGAACCCAGACCUCACAUUCAGGCAAUCCCCAGGACGCCGAUCGGCUGGCACUACCCACUGUCCCGGCCACCCCCCCUGGAGCUCAAAGGCUUGGCCCUCCAGCUGCUCCACCCUGCCGGCAACCAGGCUCAAACCUGCAGCCCGCGGAUCCCCUGCCCCGGAAGCAACCAGAUUCGCGGGAGGUUACCUGACUGAUCCAAGGCAGUUUCUCACUCCGUUGCCCAGGCUGGAAUGCAGUGGUGUAAUCACAGCUCACUGCAGCCUCAACCUACUGGACUCAAAGGAUAAGAUCUGCUUUUAAUUAAUUUUUGUAUACGGUAUGGGAUAGGGACCAAAGUUCAUUUUUUUGCAUGUAUACAUAUCCAAAUGUUCCAGCAUCAUUUAUUAAAAAGUUAUUUUUGUCUCUACUGCAUUUCCUUUGUGCUUACAUCAAAAUCUGUGUUGCAUAUGUAUGUGUUUCAUUUUAGGCUUCCUAUUGUGUUCCAUUGAGCUAUUUGUCUUUUUGCUGCCAGCACCAUGCUGUUUUGAUUAUUGUAGCUAUAUAAAUAAGUGAUGAAAUCA
This 1203-nucleotide long non-coding RNA is filed under the name Homo sapiens (human). RNAcentral describes it as "HSALNT0344764". Lineage: Eukaryota; Metazoa; Chordata; Mammalia; Primates; Hominidae. The record is from RNAcentral.